This 137-nucleotide unclassified non-coding RNA is filed under the name soil metagenome. RNAcentral describes it as "partial internal transcribed spacer 1". The record is from RNAcentral.
CCUAGAGUUGUAGGCUUUGCCUGCUAUCUCUUACCCAUGUCUUUUGAGUACCUUCGUUCCUCGGCGGGUCCGCCCGCCGAUCGGACAAUUUAAGCCAUUUGCAGUUGCAAUCAGCGUCUGAAAAAACUUAAUAGUUA